AUGCCAGCACGGCCGAGGCGGCUCCAGCCGGCCAGCAAGCGGCGGCGGCUGCACGCACGCUCACGGCGACGACGUCCAGCACGCGGUGGCGGCGGCUGCUGCGCACGCACGCUCAUGGCGACGACGUCCAGCACGCGGUGGCAGCGGCUGCUGCGCACGCACGCAAGGCCGCAGCAUGCCAGCACGACCGAGGCAGCUCCAGCCGGCGUGGUUGCGCCUCCGUCUCCAGUCCCGACCAGCGUCAGAGAGGUGCUUCGCCCGGGCGUCGCCAUGGCGAAGAGCGCGGAGUGCACACGAUGUGUUCGAGGAAAUGACAGAGAGAGAGAGGAGGAGGAGGAGGAGGAGGAGGAGGAGGAAGAAGAUUAA
RNAcentral lists this ribosomal RNA (366 nucleotides) under Triticum aestivum (bread wheat). Its description in RNAcentral is "partial small subunit ribosomal RNA". Lineage: Eukaryota; Viridiplantae; Streptophyta; Magnoliopsida; Poales; Poaceae. The record is from RNAcentral.